AUCCAUGCCUCCAUGGGGGCUGCCGCCUGUGGCUGUCUCCCUUCCUAGGCAUGGAAGAGCAGUUCCUUGCUAAUUGGCAAAACUUUUACCCUCUUUUGUGGGUAUUAGUCGUUGACUGUAGCAAGUAACAGGC
Molecule: small nucleolar RNA, 133 nt
Filed under: Pygoscelis adeliae (Adelie penguin)
Lineage: Eukaryota; Metazoa; Chordata; Aves; Sphenisciformes; Spheniscidae
Description: Small nucleolar RNA SNORA24
Rfam family: Small nucleolar RNA SNORA24
About the family: ACA24 is a member of the H/ACA class of snoRNA that guide the sites of modification of uridines to pseudouridines.
Source: Rfam by way of RNAcentral